AGCAGCCGCGGUAAUUCCAGCUCCAAUAGCGUAUAUUAAAGUUGUUGCAGUUAAAAAGCUCGUAGUUGAAUUUCGGGACCAAUUUGUUGGUCGUGCCUCGGUACGUACUGAUAUUAUUGGUUUCUCCCUUCUGAAGAACCAUGAUGCCAUUAAUUUGGUGUCGUGGGGAAUCAGGACUGUUACUUUGAAAAAAUUAGAGUGUUUAAAGCAGGCUUUCGCUUGAAUACAUUAGCAUGGAAUAAUGAAAUAGGACGUUUGAUUCUAUUUUGUUGGUUUCUAGGAUCGACGUAAUGAUUAAUAGGGAUAGUUGGGGGCAUUAGUAUUCAAUUGUCAGAGGUGAAAUUCUUGGAUUUAUUGAAGACUAACUACUGCGAAAGCAUUUGCCAAGGAUGUUUUCAUUAAUCAAGAACGAAAGUUAGGGGAUCGAAGACGAUCAGAUACCGUCGUAGUCUUAACCAUAAACUAUGCCGACUAGGGAUCGGAUGAUGUUAAUUUUUAAUGACUCAUUCGGCGCCUUACG
Molecule: ribosomal RNA, 520 nt
Filed under: uncultured Glomus
Lineage: Eukaryota; Fungi; Glomeromycota; Glomeromycetes; Glomerales; Glomeraceae
Description: SSU rRNA
Rfam family: Eukaryotic small subunit ribosomal RNA
Source: RNAcentral